GUUGGAGUGGCAGAGCCCGGUUCACAUUGCAAAAGGCCUAAGCCCUUUGUACAGAGGUUCAAAUCCUCUCUUCAACU
Molecule: transfer RNA, 77 nt
Filed under: Hyporthodus haifensis (Haifa grouper)
Lineage: Eukaryota; Metazoa; Chordata; Actinopteri; Perciformes; Serranidae
Description: tRNA-Leu
Rfam family: tRNA
About the family: Transfer RNA (tRNA) molecules are approximately 80 nucleotides in length. Their secondary structure includes four short double-helical elements and three loops (D, anti-codon, and T loops). Further hydrogen bonds mediate the characteristic L-shaped molecular structure. tRNAs have two regions of fundamental functional importance: the anti-codon, which is responsible for specific mRNA codon recognition, and the 3' end, to which the tRNAs corresponding amino acid is attached (by aminoacyl-tRNA synthetases). tRNAs cope with the degeneracy of the genetic code in two manners: having more than one tRNA (with a specific anti-codon) for a particular amino acid; and 'wobble' base-pairing, i.e. permitting non-standard base-pairing at the 3rd anti-codon position.
Source: RNAcentral